This 942-nucleotide ribosomal RNA is filed under the name uncultured bacterium. RNAcentral describes it as "bacterial SSU rRNA". It matches the Rfam family "Bacterial small subunit ribosomal RNA", at positions 1 to 931 of the family's 1533-position model. The record is from RNAcentral.
UUCGCCCUUAGAGUUUGAUCCUGGCUCAGGAUGAACGCUAGCUACAGGCUUAACACAUGCAAGUCGAGGGGAAACGACAUCGAAAGCUUGCUUUUGAUGGGCGUCGACCGGCGCACGGGUGAGUAACGCGUAUCCAACCUGCCCAUCACUUGGGAAUAACCUUGCGAAAGUAAGACUAAUGCCCAAUGAUAUCCCACGAAGGCAUCCGAAUGGGAUUAAAGAUUUAUCGGUGAUGGAUGGGGAUGCGUCUGAUUAGCUUGUUGGCGGGGUAACGGCCCACCAAGGCGACGAUCAGUAGGGGUUCUGAGAGGAAGGUCCCCCACAUUGGAACUGAGACACGGUCCAAACUCCUACGGGAGGCAGCAGUGAGGAAUAUUGGUCAAUGGACGAGAGUCUGAACCAGCCAAGUAGCGUGCAGGAUGACGGCCCUAUGGGUUGUAAACUGCUUUUAUAAGGGAAUAAAGUGAGUCUCGUGAGACUUUUUGCAUGUACCUUAUGAAUAAGGACCGGCUAAUUCCGUGCCAGCAGCCGCGGUAAUACGGAAGGUCCGGGCGUUAUCCGGAUUUAUUGGGUUUAAAGGGAGCGUAGGCCGGAGAUUAAGCGUGUUGUGAAAUGUAGACGCUCAACGUCUGCACUGCAGCGCGAACUGGUUUCCUUGAGUACGCACAAAGUGGGCGGAAUUCGUGGUGUAGCGGUGAAAUGCUUAGAUAUCACGAAGAACUCCGAUUGCGAAGGCAGCUCACUGGAGCGCAACUGACGCUGAAGCUCGAAAGUGCGGGUAUCGAACAGGAUUAGAUACCCUGGUAGUCCGCACGGUAAACGAUGGAUGCCCGCUGUUGGUCUGAAUAGGUCAGCGGCCAAGCGAAAGCAUUAAGCAUCCCACCUGGGGAGUACGCCGGCAACGGUGAAACUCAAAGGAAUUGACGGAAGGGCGAAUUCGUU